AAUGAUCAUUAAGAGAGGACUGACGUCCCGCCAACCUGCCUUAUCCGGUAAGGUGGUAACCUCAUAUGAGGGAUGAGACCUAAGGGUAACCAAAGGAUCAUUG
Molecule: non-coding RNA, 103 nt
Filed under: unclassified sequences
Description: SAM-I-IV sequence
Rfam family: SAM-I/IV (S-adenosyl methionine) riboswitch aptamer
About the family: It is found upstream of a number of genes which code for proteins involved in methionine or cysteine biosynthesis.
Source: Rfam by way of RNAcentral